GUUUUGUUCGUCUCGUCGCGAAUAAUACAAUGGCGCAGACGGAAUAAAAAUUGGAUAAACCGUUUGGAAGUUAUAGCAAUUUAAAAUAAAUGAUUUGCAUUUUUUAGAUGACAUCAGUGGGACGUCAGCAGAGUGGAAGGCGCUGUCUGGAUCGUUCGCUGGAUUAGUUUCUAAUGAACGUUCACUAGAAUAGAACUAGGGAUUUUCAGGGGCAGGUAUUUAGCCGUAUCUAGAAAUCGAUCUGUCAACCCUCUCUGUAAAUUGUUUUUUAAAACUUGCAAUCAAGUCAAAGAAGUGUUCUACCGUGAGAGAAGAUUGACUUGUGACUUAUAAUCGUGGGAGAUCAAAUUCUUCACCUCAUCCAUCGUGUGUCAUCACGUCCUCACCAGUGCGCCUCAAAGUCAUUAUGAGUUAUGACUAAGUGGCUAUACAUUUUAUUUGUAUUAAUUUUAGUGAAUAUUUUAAUGCAUUUAAGACCCUAAAUAAAUUCAGAGAUUAUUUGAAUAGUAAAGUUUUAGAUCUAUUCGAGUACUGCAACUUUGGUUUAGGUUAUUUCUCCAUUCGAGAUUAUUUGAAAGAUUCAACAAAAUAAAUAUCAAAAUUAUUAAACUCAAAAUAGAAUCU
Molecule: long non-coding RNA, 624 nt
Filed under: Sorghum bicolor (sorghum)
Lineage: Eukaryota; Viridiplantae; Streptophyta; Magnoliopsida; Poales; Poaceae
Description: long non-coding RNA (SBIC_LNC013198)
Source: RNAcentral